Molecule: long non-coding RNA, 353 nt
Filed under: Nicotiana benthamiana
Lineage: Eukaryota; Viridiplantae; Streptophyta; Magnoliopsida; Solanales; Solanaceae
Description: long non-coding RNA (NBEN_LNC014377)
Source: RNAcentral
UUAAAAGAGAAUAGAGAAGCUUUACAAAAACCUACCCCCUUUUCUCCUUAAAACCAGACCUGGUUUUAUAUAGUCCCCUUCCUUGAAUUUUCCUUUUUCACAAGAAAUAUGGAAGAAAAUCUCUUCAGAUGGAAGGAGAGGAUUGAUCCUCAAAUCAAUCCACAGCUCCCAUUUUCGGAGUUCAUUCUUCAGAAACUCCAAAAUAAAUCUGGUACAUAAGAGAUGCAACAAAAUGUCAGAGGCUGUUAGAAUAUUGCUGAGGUUGUGAGAUAAGGUGCACGUUAGUGAAUUUGAUCUCUCGCUCAAAAUUUCGCGAGUUUGGACGCAGCUUUGCAGUGAAGAAGAGAGUGGAC